GCUCUAGAGUUUGAUCCUGGCUCAGGACGAACGCUGGCGGCGUGCUUAACACAUGCAAGUCGAACGAUGAUGCCCAGCUUGCUGGGUGGAUUAGUGGCGAACGGGUGAGUAACACGUGAGUAACCUGCCCUUGACUUCGGGAUAACUCCGGGAAACCGGGGCUAAUACCGGAUAUGAGCCGUCCCUGCAUGGGGGUGGUUGGAAAGUUUUUCGGUCAAGGAUGGGCUCGCGGCCUAUCAGCUUGUUGGUGGGGUGAUGGCCUACCAAGGCGACGACGGGUAGCCGGCCUGAGAGGGCGACCGGCCACACUGGGACUGAGACACGGCCCAGACUCCUACGGGAGGCAGCAGUGGGGAAUAUUGCACAAUGGGCGAAAGCCUGAUGCAGCGACGCCGCGUGAGGGAUGAAGGCCUUCGGGUUGUAAACCUCUUUCAGCAGGGAAGAAGCGCAAGUGACGGUACCUGCAGAAGAAGCGCCGGCUAACUACGUGCCAGCAGCCGCGGUAAUACGUAGGGCGCAAGCGUUGUCCGGAAUUAUUGGGCGUAAAGAGCUCGUAGGCGGUCUGUCGCGCAGUGGUGUGAAAACUCGAGGCUCAACCUCGAGCUUGCAUCGGGUACGGGCAGACUAGAGUGCGGUAGGGGAGACUGGAAUUCCUGGUGUAGCGGUGGAAUGCGCAGAUAUCAGGAGGAACACCGAUGGCGAAGGCAGGUCUCUGGGCCGCAACUGACGCUGAGGAGCGAAAGCAUGGGGAGCGAACAGGAUUAGAUACCCUGGUAGUCCAUGCCGUAAACGUUGGGCACUAGGUGUGGGGCUCAUUCCACGAGUUCCGUGCCGCAGCAAACGCAUUAAGU
RNAcentral lists this ribosomal RNA (851 nucleotides) under Cellulosimicrobium cellulans. Its description in RNAcentral is "bacterial SSU rRNA". It matches the Rfam family "Bacterial small subunit ribosomal RNA", at positions 1 to 865 of the family's 1533-position model. The record is from RNAcentral. Lineage: Bacteria; Bacillati; Actinomycetota; Actinomycetes; Micrococcales; Promicromonosporaceae.